This 245-nucleotide ribosomal RNA is filed under the name uncultured bacterium. Its description in RNAcentral is "partial 16S ribosomal RNA". It matches the Rfam family "Bacterial small subunit ribosomal RNA", at positions 528 to 772 of the family's 1533-position model. The record is from RNAcentral.
UAGGGUGCAAGCGUUAUCCGGAAUUAUUGGGCGUAAAGGGCUCGUAGGCGGUUCGUCGCGUCCGGUGUGAAAGUCCAUCGCUUAACGGUGGAUCUGCGCCGGGUACGGGCGGGCUGGAGUGCGGUAGGGGAGACUGGAAUUCCCGGUGUAACGGUGGAAUGUGUAGAUAUCGGGAAGAACACCAAUGGCGAAGGCAGGUCUCUGGGCCGUUACUGACGCUGAGGAGCGAAAGCGUGGGGAGCGAA